AUACGGAGGGUGCAAGCGUUAAUCGGAAUUACUGGGCGUAAAGCGUACGUAGGCGGUUCGUUAAGUUAGAUGUGAAAGCCCCGGGCUUAACCUGGGAACUGCAUUUAAAACUGGCGAACUAGAGUUGAGUAGAGGGGAGUGGAAUUUCAGGUGUGGCGGUGAAAUGCGUAGAGAUCUGAAGGAACACCAGUGGCGAAGGCGGCUCCCUGGACUCAAUCUGACGCUGAGGUACGAAAGCGUGGGUAGCAAACGGGAUUAGAAACCCUAGUAGUCC
This 274-nucleotide ribosomal RNA is filed under the name uncultured bacterium. Its description in RNAcentral is "partial 16S ribosomal RNA". It matches the Rfam family "Bacterial small subunit ribosomal RNA", at positions 523 to 796 of the family's 1533-position model. The record is from RNAcentral.